GGUGAUCUAAGAGUCGUAUCUUCUGAGACAGGUGUAGCCAUUGGGCUCUCUUUCUCUCUCCAGACGAAAAGCCUUGAUCUCUGUACGAGGUGAUGAUCGCGUUCUUCCUGGUGAUCGCCGCCUCUACCCCCACGGAUAAUGCCUCCUGGCCGUCGCGGAAGAAGGAGAGAGGUUUGUUUUGGGAGGAGAGAGGUUUGUUCUGAAUCGAAAUCAAAGGCGAGGGUUUUGUUCUGAAUCGAAAUCGAAGGCCAUAUGUUAUUAUGAAGACGAAAACGAAAUCGAAGGCUAGGGGUUUGUCCACAAGUGAAGACUAAGGUGUCUAUUAAGGGGCACCUGCACACUUACAGAUUCUGUGACAACGUCUGGACAUUCAUAUUACAGGAUAGUGGCAUGUGACUCUAAGCUGCUCACACACUGAGAUGUAAAUUCUCAACAGAUAAUAUGCUCACUUCCUUUGUAAUAGAUUUUGAGUUUUGUUUUCCACUUUGUAAACUCAGCACUUGUUAUAUGUUGAGCUCCAUUUGCAGCCAUGAAUUUAGCCUAUAUGUAAAUUAUCUUUCUGAUUUAGGAUGGAAGUGACCAAGGCUCUGUUUCCAACGACAGUAGCACGCUUAAUGUUUGUUUAUAGCUGAUUGCUCUUAGUCAAGGAGAAGAUCCAAGGCUAGGCAUUCCAUCGACCUACAAAGACCAGAGUGAUAGUCGCAGUGGUCCAUGGAAGCUUCAUUGUGUAAAGCUAGUAUUGUUUUCAAAUAGCAGAAUAUCUAUUGUCUCUCAGUGUAGUCGACAUCAGACAGAGUCCCUUGGAUCCUGAGAAAAGGUCGAUUCCUUAAAGGUUGUAUUGAUGAUACUUGUGUAAUGAUUUCCACAUUAGGAUUUGUCUCAACGUUCUUAAUAGUUUCAUUACCAAAUUAUUUGGUCAUUUGAUUAUAACAUCACCAUGUACAAGUGUGUUUUGACUUUCUCGUACUUCUUUAAGAAAAUUGUUUUUCUUUACACUUGCUAUGAUUUUGAAUGGAGUAAAUAUGAGGUUUGUACUAUAUACAUCACA
Molecule: long non-coding RNA, 1048 nt
Organism: Brassica napus (rape)
Lineage: Eukaryota; Viridiplantae; Streptophyta; Magnoliopsida; Brassicales; Brassicaceae
Exons: 3
Source: RefSeq, a predicted model, not a curated record